RNAcentral lists this ribosomal RNA (201 nucleotides) under uncultured Bacillus sp. RNAcentral describes it as "partial 16S ribosomal RNA". It matches the Rfam family "Bacterial small subunit ribosomal RNA", at positions 333 to 526 of the family's 1533-position model. The record is from RNAcentral. Lineage: Bacteria; Bacillati; Bacillota; Bacilli; Caryophanales; Bacillaceae.
UUACUCCUACGGGAGGCAGCAGUAGGGAAUCUUCCGCAAUGGACGCAAGCCUGACGGAGCAACGCCGCGUGAGUGAUGAAGGCUUUCGGAUCGUAAAGCUCUGUUGUUAGGGAAGAACAAGUGCGAGAGUAACUGCUCGCACCUUGACGGUACCUAACCAAAAAGCCACGGCUAACUACGUGCCAGCAGCCGCGGUAAUAA